UAAGACGAACCGUGCGAACGUUAUUCGGAAUCAUUGGGCUUAAAGAGCGCGUAGGCGGCGACGUAAGUUGGAAGUGAAAUCCCAUCGGCUCAACCGUGGAAUCGCUCCCAGUACUGCGUUGCUCGAGGGAGAUAGGGGCCUGUGGAACUGCCGGUGGAGCGGUGAAAUGUGUUGAUAUCGGCGGGAACGCCAGUGGCGAAAGCGACAGGCUGGACCUUUUCUGACGCUGAGGCGCGAAAGCUAGGGGAGCAAACGGGAUUAGAUACCCCGGUAGUCCUAGCCUUAAACGAUGGGUACUGGGUAGAAAGUGUACCGAUAGCACCUUCUGCCGGAGCGAAAGUGUUAAGUACCCCGCCUGGGGAGUAUGGUCGCAAGGCUG
This 379-nucleotide ribosomal RNA is filed under the name uncultured bacterium. RNAcentral's name for it is "bacterial SSU rRNA". It matches the Rfam family "Bacterial small subunit ribosomal RNA", at positions 521 to 896 of the family's 1533-position model. The record is from RNAcentral.